Molecule: ribosomal RNA, 304 nt
Filed under: uncultured bacterium
Lineage: Bacteria
Description: partial 16S ribosomal RNA
Rfam family: Bacterial small subunit ribosomal RNA
Source: RNAcentral
CAGCAGCAGCCACGGGAAUACGGAGGGUGCAAGCGUUAAUCGGAAUUACUGGGCGUAAAGCGCACGCAGGCGGUCUGACAAGUCAGAUGUGAAAUCCCCGGGCUUAACCUGGGAACUGCAUUUGAAACUGUCAGGCUGGAGUCUUGUAGAGGGGGGUGGAAUUCCAGGUGUAGCGGUGAAAUGCGUAGAGAUCUGGAGGAAUACCGGUGGCGAAGGCGGCCCCCUGGACAAAGACUGACGCUCAGGUGCGAAAGCGUGGGGAGCAAACAGGAUUAGAUACCCCAGUAGUCCCUGUCUCUUAUAC